This 77-nucleotide transfer RNA is filed under the name Patescibacteria group bacterium. RNAcentral describes it as "tRNA-Pro". It matches the Rfam family "tRNA". From Rfam's summary of the family: Transfer RNA (tRNA) molecules are approximately 80 nucleotides in length. The record is from RNAcentral.
CGGGGUAUGGCGCAGUUGGCUAGCGCGCAUGCAUGGGGUGCAUGAGGUCGUGGGUUCAAGUCCCACUACCCCGACCA